CAUAGGUUAAUGAGGCGAACCGGGGGAACUGAAACAUCUAAGUACCCCGAGGAAAAGAAAUCAACCGAGAUUCCCCCAGUAGCGGCGAGCGAACGGGGAGGAGCCCAGAGCCUGAAUCAGUGUGUGUGUUAGUGGAAGCGUCUGGAAAGGCGCGCGAUACAGGGUGACAGCCCCGUACACAAAAAUGCACAUGCUGUGAGCUCGAUGAGUAGGGCGGGACACGUGGUAUCCUGUCUGAAUAUGGGGGGACCAUCCUCCAAGGCUAAAUACUCCUGACUGACCGAUAGUGAACCAGUACCGUGAGGGAAAGGCGAAAAGAACCCCGGCGAGGGGAGUGAAAAAGAACCUGAAACCGUGUACGUACAAGCAGUGGGAGCACAGAGCAAUCUGUGUGACUGCGUACCUUUUGUAUAAUGGGUCAGCGACUUAUAUUCUGUAGCAAGGUUAACCGAAUAGGGGAGCCGAAGGGAAACCGAGUCUUAACUGGGCGUUAAGUUGCAGGGUAUAGACCCGAAACCCGGUGAUCUAGCCAUGGGCAGGUUGAAGGUUGGGUAACACUAACUGGAGGACCGAACCGACUAAUGUUGAAAAAUUAGCGGAUGACUUGUGGCUGGGGGUGAAAGGCCAAUCAAACCGGGAGAUAGCUGGUUCUCCCCGAAAGCUAUUUAGGUAGCGCCUCGUGAAUUCAUCUCCGGGGGUAGAGCACUGUUUCGGCAAGGGGGUCAUCCCGACUUACCAACCCGAUGCAAACUGCGAAUACCGGAGAAUGUUAUCACGGGAGACACACGGCGGGUGCUAACGUCCGUCG
RNAcentral lists this ribosomal RNA (808 nucleotides) under Escherichia coli. RNAcentral's name for it is "partial 23S ribosomal RNA". It matches the Rfam family "Bacterial large subunit ribosomal RNA", at positions 165 to 1010 of the family's 2925-position model. The record is from RNAcentral. Lineage: Bacteria; Pseudomonadati; Pseudomonadota; Gammaproteobacteria; Enterobacterales; Enterobacteriaceae.